UGUGAGCCAUCCCCACCUGGGAGGCACAGCCUUCCAUCUCUCGGGAGCUACGUUUCAGUGAGUUCGCCUCCCACUGAGUUCAGCUUUCAGUCAAGCAGCUCAACAGCUCAAGUUUAAAAAGGGGGUUUACAACAAAGAUCCACAGUUUCUCUGAGGACAAAAGGGACAAGAACUUGUAUACAGCUCACCUCAAGCACCUUCAAUUUUUCAAACAAUUACAAAUUUGAUGAAGACAUUCAAAAUGAAGGGCACAGACCAAUGAGUGAGCCAGUUAAAGUCUGCUCUGAGUGCUAUGUGAGCUCAACUGAGCAAUGACCGUCCUUCUGCAGAGAGACAUCAUGAGUCCUUGUCCCAGCUGUGGAGUCUUCAGUGAUACACGGAAUUUAUUCAGGUUUUAACAAAGGUUCUGCAGCAUUUGUGCAUUCUCACUUCUCUCAUGGAAAACCUGGGUUUGGUGGGCUGGACAGAGAGCAGGAGGAGAACCUGGAAGC
Molecule: non-coding RNA, 491 nt
Organism: Phalacrocorax carbo (great cormorant)
Lineage: Eukaryota; Metazoa; Chordata; Aves; Suliformes; Phalacrocoracidae
Source: RefSeq, a predicted model, not a curated record